Molecule: long non-coding RNA, 936 nt
Organism: Papaver somniferum (opium poppy)
Lineage: Eukaryota; Viridiplantae; Streptophyta; Magnoliopsida; Ranunculales; Papaveraceae
Exons: 3
Source: RefSeq, a predicted model, not a curated record
UCUCACUUUCACUUCGUCUUUUCUCCUUCUUCUUCUUCGAACUGGAAAAAGAGAACAUCACAGUGCACUUCACGUAAAUGGUUGUUAACAUCGUCUCUGCUCCUCCUUCUUCUCCAGUUGCUAUUCUUUUUCAGUUGUUAACAUCACGUAAAUGAUUUUGGGUAGAAUAGCUAUAGAGAUAAAUUAAUUUAGGGUUCAAGUUCAAUUGAUUUUUAAGAAAUUAGGUUUUGUGGUUAUUCAAUUGGGGGUUUUAGUUGAUGAAUUACAGAGAAGUUGCGGAACAUGGAGAAGAUAAGUGGUGCAAUUAUCUAGGAUGGAAUGGUGCUGCUUCACUAAUUAUUGAUAGAUCGAUUUCUCUUCUCCAUGUUCUUCAAUUUUGUAUCAAUUUGUUGGAAUUUCACGAAUAAUUGAUGGAAAAAUUUGGAGGGCUAGAGGAGUAUAUGAAUGAAUGAUGAAUCAGUAGAUGGAUGGUUGUAACAAUACAGGGAGACAAGUUAGAGAAGAUGUUGAGGUAAUAAACCCGGUACCGGCUGGAACCGGAUUGGAAUCUCCGGUACAAGUCCAGGUCCAAGUACAGGGAACGGUCCUCAGUAUGAGGUACCGGUCAACACCAGGUACAGGGACCGGUUCCAUAAGAGAACCGGUCCGUACCGGACCCUGUGCAGCCCUAGUUGCAAAGAGGGAAAUGAGUUGAUCUGUAGGAGGGAAUCUGAGAAUUGUGUGGGAUCAAUGAUGAUCAAGAAUUGUGGAUGUGUUGAAGGUUUCUGCGAUAAUGAUGAACUGAUGAGUUCGAAUAAUAUCUGAGAGAUUGACGAAUUCUUGAGAGUAAUUGCUCGAGAAAUUCUGUGUAGACGAAUGUUCGUUUCUUGUCCUCAAUCAUGUAUUCAGAAACUUAUUUAUAUUUUCAGAAUGGUAAAAACAUCUUGAUCCCUGUAA